GAUGAACGCUGGCGGCGUGCCUAAUACAUGCAAGUCGAGCGCGAAGAUCAGGAGCUUGCUCCUGAGAUUUGAGCGGCGGACGGGUGAGUAACACGUAGGCAACCUACCCUUGAGAUUGGGAUAACUACCGGAAACGGUAGCUAAUACCGGAUACGACUUUUCCACAUAAGUGGAACUGUUAAAAGGCGGAUUUAUCUGCCGAUCAUGGAUGGGCAUGCGGUGCAUUAGCUAGUUGGUGAGAUAGUAGCUCACCAAGGCGACGAUGCAUAGCCGACCUGAGAGGGGGAUCGGCCACACUGGGACUGAGACACGGCCCAGACUCCUACGGGAGGCAGCAGUAGGGAAUCUUCCGCAAUGGACGAAAGUCUGACGGAGCAACGCCGCGUGAGUGAUGAAGGGUUUCGGCUCGUAAAACUCUGUUGUUAAGGAAGAACACUUGAGGUAGUAACUGGCCUUGAGAUGACGGUACCUAACCGGAAAGCCACGGCUAACUACGUGCCAGCCGCCGCGGUAA
This 514-nucleotide ribosomal RNA is filed under the name uncultured bacterium. RNAcentral's name for it is "partial 16S ribosomal RNA". It matches the Rfam family "Bacterial small subunit ribosomal RNA", at positions 28 to 523 of the family's 1533-position model. The record is from RNAcentral.